GUGACAUCUAAAAAUCUCUCGCUUGAGGGAAGACCGCUCCUAGCCGUUUCCUCUCACAUUCUAAUUAGGGACUGGGAUGCCGUUUCUCCGCGGUUCUCUGUGGUGCGUUCAUUGCUCUGACCGUUUCAGCCCAUCUUGGGAAGGUUGUGGGACAGGUGGGCGAUUUGUGGGGAGGUGCUAAGCAAGCAGGGCGGCCGUGGCUGGAGCGCCCCCUGCCGGAGACUGAGUAAGGAUGCCCGGGACCUUCCGCAUCCGGGUCUCGGGGUCUUUGGGGCUAGGGGGUCAACGCACCUCCUUUUCCCAGGUCACCUUGCGGACUACAUUUCCCAGCAGGCCCGGCGGAGGCUGCCGGCCCUGGAGAGUUGGCGGCGGUUCCCUCUGGGUUCUGCCAUGUGGAGUAGGGCCCCUUGCCACGCAGCGGGUGGCUUUCCUUGAGCUGGGGACGAACAACCUUAGCUUAUUGCACCCUCGGGUGUCAUGCAAGAGACACGUGGGUGCGGGGUCUCCGUAGAUAAGAGCUGGCGACGAUCAGCCGCCCGGGCAGCCGCCUUUUCCCGGAGCAGGGGGGCGAUUCUGAACACUCGCCUCCGCCGAGCCCCAUUGAUGAGGCGCGCCUUGAGCCCCGACAGCACAUGGAUGUUCAAGCUGGUUUUAGGAAAGGCAGAGGAACCAGAGAUCGAGUUGCCAACAUCCCAUGGAUCAUCGAAAAAGCAAGAGGGUUCCAGAAAAACAUCUAUUUCUGCUUUAUUGACUAUGCCAAAACCUUUGACUGUGUGGAUCACAAUAAACUGUGGAAAAUUCUGAAAGAGAUGGGAAUACCAGACCACCUGACCUGCCUCUUGGUCAGGAAGCAACAGUUAGAACUGGACAUGGAACAACAGACUGGUUCCAACUAGGAAAAGGAGUACGUCAAGGCUGUAUAUUGUUACCCUGCUUAUUUAACUCAUAUGCAGAAUACAUCAUGAGAAACGCUGGGCUGGAGGAAGCACAAGCUGGAGUCAAGAGUGCCGGGAGAAAUAUCAAUAACCUCAGAUAUGCAGAUGACACCACCCUUAUGGCAGAAAGUGAAGAAGAACUAAAGAGCCUCUUGAUGAAAGUGAAAGAGGAGAGUGAAAAAGUUGGCUUAAAGCUCAACAUUCAGAAAACGAAGAUCAUGGCAUCUGGUCCCAUCACUUAAUGACAGAUAGAUGGGGAAACAGUGGCUGACUUUAUUUUUUGGGGCUCCAAAAUCACUGCAGAUGGUGAUUGCAGCCAUGAAAUUAAAAGACGCUUACUCCUUGGAAGGAAAAUUAUGACCAACCUAGACAGCAUAUUAAAAAGCAGAGACGUUACUUUGCUAGCAAAGGUCCGUCUAGUCAAGGCUAUGGUUUUUCCAGUAGUCAUGUAUGGAUGUGAGAGUUGGACUGUAAAGAAAGCUGAGCACCGAAGAAUUGAUGCUUUUGAAGUGUGGUGUUGGAGAAGACUCUUGAGAGUCCCUUGGACUGCAAGGAAAUCCAACCAGUCCAUCCUAAAGGAGAUCAGUCCUGGGUGUUCAUUGGAAAGACUGAUGUUGAGGCUGAAACUCCAAUAAUUUGGCCACCUCAUGCGAAGAGUUGACUCAUUGGAAAAGACCCUAAUGCUGGGAAAGAUUGAGGGCAGGAGGAAAAGGGGACGACAGAGGAUGAGAUGGUUGGAUGGCAUCAUCGACUCGAUGGACAUGGGUUUGGGUGGACUCCAGGAGUUGGUGAUGGACAGGGAGGCCUGGAGUGCUGGGGUUCAUGGGGUCACAGAGUCUGCCACCACUGAGCAACUGAACUGAACUGAACUGAGCUACUGUUCCUAAGGUCUCCAGCCGAGUACUGCCUUCACCCACCACACCCCUCACACCGACCUAAACACCCGCCUUCCGUCAGGACCCUCUCUCUCUCAACUUUCCACAAGGCCACUGGGUACCCCCAGCCGGGAGACAGCUAUUUAGACUUAGAUGGUUUGGUGAAGUUAAAUUUUAUCAUCAUGUGGCAUUGAAUCCAGCUACUGAGAGCUGUGCGCACCCGAGUUCAGGACCAUGAUCUUAGUUUCUUAAUACCCUGGACCCGUGGCUCAGAAGGGAAGCACUGCAGUGAGGACCAACAGAUACUCCUUUAGUUCAAAGGUUCUCAACCUUAUGUGUGUGUUAGUUGCUCAGUUGUGUCCAGUUCUUUGCGACCCCAUGGUCUCCCGUCAGCCUCCUCUGUCCAUGGGAUUUCCCAGGCAAUAAUACUGGAGUGGGUUACCAUUUCCUUCUCCAUGGGAUCUUCCUGACCCAGGGAUCGAACAUGGGUCUCCUGCACUGUGGGCAGAUUCUUUACAGUCUGAGCCACCUGUAUGUCAUUGUAAUCCCCGGGUGCAAUGUACGCAAAAGAAUUUUGCAAAACUUCUGGGUAAUUCUAUUGUGCAGCCAGGGUUGAGAUCACUGCUUUAUCUCCUAGGGCAGAUGGGUGGGGCCUGGGAUGGCCAGAAGCACUGGGCCAGGCACCUCCAGCUGGGAGCAGCCUCCACCCUUUAUCCCAAUGUGGUUCACAAAUCACUGUUCACAUUUUGUAUGUGUCCCAGGCUGUGCGAAAAGGAAGCUCUGCCCUGUAAUAAGAAAUAUAUUUGACAGCCUUAUGUAAGGCAAUUGGGAGAAAGGCCAAGUAGGAAACAAACUAAUCCCAGCAAGGGGAAAGGAAAGCCUGGGCUAGAUGGGGAAUGUAAUGAGUUCGUCAAAAAGUUCGAUCAGGUUUUUCUGUAAGAUGGUACGGAAAAAUCCUGAUGAUCUUUUGGCCAACCCAAUAGGAGGAGACAGCUGUGAUAGUCACAGAGUAAUGGAUUAAGGUGGCUAACUAGAUCAAAGUUCUUGCAAACCUGUGACACUUUUAAUUGUCAGAAGAGCUGACUACACUGGCUAUGUCCCUGCUGACUCAGGAGCAUUCCCAGCGCUGCUGAGCUUUACCUAGGGCUCCCAAGACCAUGAACAGGCUAGAGUCAUCAAGCUUGGCUCAGGCUCAGACAUGAGCAAAUUGAACUGCAGCCAUUCAUGUUUUUAUAAGAACUUCUCCCUUAUGAAGAUCAAAGGCCCUUGCCUACAUGGGGCAUCAGCUAUGCUCCUGAUGAUGAUUCCUAUGUGAGAUUAAAAAAAUAAGCUCUGUGCAUGGUGUGAAGAUGCUCAUUCCAGCAUUUUCUAUAGUAGUGACAUAUUCCAAUAAUAAAAGGGAUGAAUAAAAUGUGGUCUUUUAAAUGAAAGAA
This is a long non-coding RNA of Bos taurus (domestic cattle), 3243 nucleotides long. The record is from Ensembl. NCBI's taxonomy places the organism in Eukaryota, Metazoa, Chordata, Mammalia, Artiodactyla, Bovidae.